UACGUAGGACCCAAGCGUUAUCCGGAUUUACUGGGCGUAAAGAGUUGCGUAGGUGGCGGUGUAAGCGGAGUGUGAAAUCGUGUGGCUCAACCAUACGGCUAUGCUCUGAACUGCACUGCUAGAAGAUGAGAGAGGUAGCUGGAAUUCCCUGUGUAGGAGUGAAAUCCGUAGAUAUAGGGAGGAACACCGAUGGCGUAGGCAGGCUACUGGCUCAUUCUUGACACUAAGGCACGAAAGCGUGGGGAGCAAACGGG
RNAcentral lists this ribosomal RNA (254 nucleotides) under uncultured bacterium. Its description in RNAcentral is "partial 16S ribosomal RNA". It matches the Rfam family "Bacterial small subunit ribosomal RNA", at positions 524 to 776 of the family's 1533-position model. The record is from RNAcentral.